GCUACGGCCAUAUCAGCCUGGGUACGCCCGAUCUCGUCUGAUCUCGGAAGCUAAGCAGGGUCGGGCCUGGUUAGUACUUGGAUGGGAGACCGCCUGGCAAUACCAGGUGCUGUAAGCA
RNAcentral lists this ribosomal RNA (118 nucleotides) under Salmo salar (Atlantic salmon). The record is from RNAcentral. Lineage: Eukaryota; Metazoa; Chordata; Actinopteri; Salmoniformes; Salmonidae.